This 602-nucleotide ribosomal RNA is filed under the name uncultured bacterium. RNAcentral's name for it is "bacterial SSU rRNA". It matches the Rfam family "Bacterial small subunit ribosomal RNA", at positions 24 to 647 of the family's 1533-position model. The record is from RNAcentral.
UCAGAACGAACGCUGGCGGCGUGGAUAAGACAUGCAAGUCGAACGAGAGAAUUGCUAGCUUGCUAAUAAUUCUCUAGUGGCGCACGGGUGAGUAACACGUGAGUAACCUGCCCCCGAGAGCGGGAUAGCCCUGGGAAACUGGGAUUAAUACCGCAUAGUAUCGAAAGAUUAAAGCAGCAAUGCGCUUGGGGAUGGGCUUGCGGCCUAUUAGUUAGUUGGUGAGGUAACGGCUCACCAAGGCGAUGACGGGUAGCCGGUCUGAGAGGAUGUCCGGCCACACUGGAACUGAGACACGGUCCAGACACCUACGGGUGGCAGCAGUCGAGAAUCAUUCACAAUGGGGGAAACCCUGAUGGUGCGACGCCGCGUGGGGGAAUGAAGGUCUUCGGAUUGUAAACCCCUGUCAUGUGGGAGCAGAUUAAAAAGAUAGUACCACAAGAGGAAGAGACGGCUAACUCUGUGCCAGCAGCCGCGGUAAUACAGAGGUCUCAAGCGUUGUUCGGAAUCACUGGGCGUAAAGCGUGCGUAGGCUGUUUCGUAAGUCGUGUGUGAAAGGCGCGGGCUCAACCCGCGGACGGCACAUGAUACUGCGAGACUAGAGU